Molecule: ribosomal RNA, 392 nt
Filed under: uncultured bacterium
Lineage: Bacteria
Description: bacterial SSU rRNA
Rfam family: Bacterial small subunit ribosomal RNA
Source: RNAcentral
GACGAACGCUGGCGGCGCGCCUAACACAUGCAAGUCGAGCGAGAACCGGAGCUUCGGCUCCGGGGACAGCGGCGAACGGGUGAGUAACACGUGGAUAACCUGCCCUCGGCACCGGAAUAGCCCGGGGAAACUCGGAUUAAUGCCGGAUAGCCCCACAUCCUCUCGGGGAACGUGGGAAAGGUAGCUUCGGCCUCUGGCCGGGGAGUGGGUCCGCGGUGGAUUAGCUUGUUGGCGGGGUAACGGCCCACCAAGGCGACGAUCCAUAGCUGGUCUGAGAGGACGAUCAGCCACACUGGGACUGAGACACGGCCCAGACUCCUACGGGAGGCAGCAGUGGGGAAUCUUGCGCAAUGGGCGAAAGCCUGACGCAGCGACGCCGCGUGCGGGAAGAA